CUCUUCUCUCUCUCUCUCUCUCUCUCUCUCUCUCUCUCUAUCUUUGUCUCUGUUCCUUAUUUCUUGCUAAUGUUUUCCUGGCUCUGCAACUGUCCAUAGCAACCUAUUUGAGUUCUGGUGGUUGGUGCUGCAACCUAUUGGGUUCUUUGCUUUAUGGGUUUUGCUGAUGAGCUUUGAAAGAUCUAUGGGUUUUUUCUGAAAUUUGAUGCAGUUUUGUUGAAUGUCCAGCCAUGUAUUUAUAUAUGUAUAUAUGCGUGUUGCUGGUUGUGUACAUAUAGAUGUACAUGGAUAUAUAUGGAGGCAUUUAUGUGUAUAUCUAUAUAUGCCUGUUGCAUGUUUGAAUUCUGUGAAUUCAUGUAAAAUGUGCGCAAAUACAUGUGUUUGUGACCACUAUUGCAGAAAUUCAGGCAUCUGUUUCUUGUACUACUUGCACAACAAAACCCAAGACCAAGAACCACUCACAUAUACUUCAAAUCAGAGUAAUAAAACCGUGAUAUAUACAGAGUGGAGAGAGACAAAAACCAGAAGAAAAGGCAAAGCUGAUUUGUUAGAGGAGGGGGAUAGGAAGUGAAGCUACAUUUGGCAUCUCUCUCAUUGGGUUUUAUCUGCGUAGUGAUGCAAGUUUUUUAGAUGUGUAUGUUAAAGUCACCACAGUAGCAUCUUUGAUGCUUCCUGCCUUUUUUUUGUGUUUCAAAACAAGUAGUGUUGCCAAAUGAAUGGCAUGCAAUGACCAGUGUAACACUAUAUUAUUGUAAAACCCAUAGAAACAGUACAUGUAGAUAUACAUUCAAUAUGUUUUGCAAACAGGAGACGUGGCUGAAAAUGUUUGGCUUCAGAAUUUUUUGUGGCUUCAGUACAUGUAGGUAUACAUUCUAGCCAAUUUCUCUCUCUCUCUCUCUCUAAGCCUUCUUUUACUGCUAUGAUGUUUUCUUUUUCUCAAACUAGUAAAAUAGAGCUUGUCCUCUUCCUUUUAUCAAUACAAUCACCAUGAAAUUGAAAACUUGCUACUAACAGUUUUCUCUCUCUUUGUUAAAGAUAAAAUGGCCAUCGUCCUCUUAGCUCGUAUUGCCAUAGAGUACAACAAUUGGACUUAUACUAUAAAAAUUUGAAAUUGUGUUUUCUGGUUUCCAUACUGUUUCUAUUCUUAACAGAUUUCUCCACUUUAGGCCAUUGGAUUAGUUCCACCUCUGAUGCCUUCUGGUUGGAAACCUGGUAUGCCUAUUGGGAUUGGUGAUAUUGCCAUUGUUCCACCUGGUUGGAAGCCUGGUGACCCUGUUCCUUUGCCCCCUGUUGUGGAUGUACCAGUGGGUUGGAAACCAGGAGAUGCAGUUGUUCUUCCUAAGCCUGCUAAAGAAGCUGUUCCAAUGGUUCAGAAGCCGAUAGUUAGCAAUGCCCCAGAGCCUAUCCAAGUCAACUUUGUGCAGCUCGAUAUCAAUCCAGAUCAGGAUGAUUAUAGUAGCGAGUAUAGUAAUGAUGUGGGUUGCUCUGAGGAGGAUGAUGAAGAACGAGAAUUGGGUGUGAGGAUUUCUGUGGGUUGAUCUGAUGUGGUUGUUAGAAAGUGGGAUUUUGAUGGAGAAUUGGGUUUUGGAUCUGGGAUAGAAACAAUAAGAAAUCUGGUGUAUUAAUAAUAAUACACAUUUCAAAUUCCUGACAUCAAUUUGUGCAUUGUGGAGUAUUUGGCUGAUAAGGGUGUAUGUUUCAAAUUUUUCUUUUUAAAUUACUUAAUCUCCUCUUCCCCCUGGUCUAUCCCCAACAGACCACAGCAGCGAGCCUCAGGGUUCUGGAGAUCUAUCCUCCACUCCUUGCCUUCUUUCAAAGACCACAUCCUCCUCCAUCCGAGGGAUGGAUCCAUGUUUCGUUUCUGGCUAGACCCAUGGAUAUCUCUUGCUCCUCUCUUUAUGGUGUCUCCUUCUCUUUCGCCUGGCAAGAGCACCUUUUGCUUCUAUCCAGUGUCUCUUCCCUUCCAAGAACGGUUCAAGAGUCUGGGACCCCGACCUCCGGCGCUUGCUUCGCGAUUCAGAAGUUCCCGCCUUUCAGGAGUUAUCCUUUCUGAUCACCUCUUUCCCACCUCUACUAAGUGGGGCAGACCGCCUCUGCUGGGUCCCGUCUCCUUCCGGGACCUUCACUAUGGUAUCUCUACCACUCUCUCGCCAAUCCUCUCCCAAGGACCCCUCCCUGCCAGGCCACUAUCCCACGAAUGUGGUUCAGUUUUAUACCACUCAGGAUCCAAUUCUUCCUACGGCUGGCCCUGUGGGGUAAGGUCCUUAUUGUUGACCAGCUCCAAGCUAGAGGUAUCCAAAUUCCUAAUCGGCGUGUGAUGUGUCUCAAGGCAGAGGAAACCAAUGAUCGCCUCUUCCUCCACUGCCCUUUUGUGGCCGAUAUUUGGAAAUUCGCCCUCUCUUUCCAAUUGUCUGGGUGACCCUAGGUGGUGGCAUUUUUAGAGACUCCGAGGGUCUCACCCUCUUUGCCUUGUCCCUUUCCAUUGGGAGAACUGAUUCUACUGAGGCUGAGGCUCGAGCACUUCUAGAAGGCCUUAAAUGCCUUAACUGCUCUUGGGGUCACCUCCUUGUAAUAGAUGGGACUCCCAGAAUAAUAUCUUUGGCUUCGGGGGUUGCCCAACUUCCUUGGAGACUUUGGCAUGUUUUUGACGAGAUUUAUGAUCAUUGCAGGGGUAUGCGGAUCUCCUGGACUCAUAUCUAGAGGGAGGCAAACCAGGUCGCAGAUGAUCUUGCCAAAUAGGGAGCUGCUUCUGAUCUUAUCUCGGGUUAAUUGGGCUCUGGUUUAACUGCCCACUGUUUUCGGGCAUUUGUUUUAGCCCUACUGCGUCAGGUGGUUUUGUUUUACUUUAUUUCGUCUUGUGACUUUUCACGUGCUCCGGUGACAUUUUGUACUUUGACCCUCUUGGUCUUUUUGUAUUUCUUCUAUCCUUUAAUACAAAGUCAACAUUAAAAAAAAAAAAAAACUUAAUCUUGUCAGAAGGCAUCCCAAAUGCCUAUUUGGGAAUUCUGAUUGAGUAUGACGGGGGAUUUUAUAUCUUCACUUCCUUUCAUGCUUGUGGCCCACUCCAUGAAGGUUUCUUAGGAGGCCACCUCAAGUAGUAAGAUUGAGGGUUUGAAUGUCAGUGAAAUUUCCACACAUGCAAUUUUUGGAUGAUUAAGUUGUUUUCUUUAACAAUUGUUUCUUAUGGCUACUUUUUUUUUUGGGGUCCCCUGUUUCUACUCUGGUUCUAAUGCAUGAUAGUGGACCUCUCUCUCUCUCUCUCUCUCUCCUCCUUCCNNNNNNNNNNNNNNNNNNNNNNNNNNNNNNNNNNNNNNNNNNNNNNNNNNNNNNNNNNNNNNNNNNNNNNNNNNNNNNNNNNNNNNNNNNNNNNNNNNNNNNNNNNNNNNNNNNNNNNNNNNNNNNNNNNNNNNNNNNNNNNNNNNNNGUAGUUAAGUUAGUUUUCGUUUUAACUAACUUAGUUUCUUAUUGUCGUUACGUUUUUUUUCGGGUUUUCCCGUUCGUUUCUUACUCUGUUCGUAUAGCAUGAUAGUGACGUCUCUCUCUCUCUCUCUCUCUCUCCCCCUUGUUCCUUUUUUGACGGGAUGCUCUGUCUUGUAUAGAUCUUACUUCUAAGUUAUCUGAUAUCUGAU
RNAcentral lists this long non-coding RNA (3629 nucleotides) under Amborella trichopoda. RNAcentral's name for it is "long non-coding RNA (ATRI_LNC003326)". The record is from RNAcentral. Lineage: Eukaryota; Viridiplantae; Streptophyta; Magnoliopsida; Amborellales; Amborellaceae.